Non-coding RNA from Streptomyces sp. MP131-18, 75 nucleotides. It matches the Rfam family "ASpks TB sRNA". NCBI's taxonomy places the organism in Bacteria, Bacillati, Actinomycetota, Actinomycetes, Kitasatosporales, Streptomycetaceae. The record is from Rfam.
CUUCACCGAGCCGAGCCACAACGGACGGUCCGCGUCACGUCCCUUGCCAUAGGUCGCGAUCAGCGCCUGCGCCUC